UCACGUCAUGCAUUCUCUUUGCAUAGACACACAGAGCUGUCACACCUCUAGAAAGCAGUAGUGUGGGAAAUCAGGAGAGAGCACGUGUGUGUGUGUGAGAGAGAGUUUACAACAGAGGGACAGAGGGCUUCCUGAAGUAUCCUGAUGAGAUGGUUUUGCCUGAGGCUAAUGACUGAUAUGGAAUUACCUUCAGGUGUCUUCAAAACCAGUGACCACAGCAAAUAUGACCAUGCGGAUGACCGGGCGAACAGCAGAACUCAGUUGGCUAACAUAAUCCUAAUUGACAAUGAGGAC
Long non-coding RNA from Alosa alosa (allis shad), 294 nucleotides. RefSeq lists it as uncharacterized. The transcript has 3 exons. The record is from RefSeq and is a predicted model, not a curated record. NCBI's taxonomy places the organism in Eukaryota, Metazoa, Chordata, Actinopteri, Clupeiformes, Clupeidae.